GUGAUAGAUGAGCUACUGGAUGAACUGCAUGGGGCACAAUGGUUUACAAAGCUGGAUCUCCGGGCAGGAUACCAUCAAAUAAGGCUAGCCCCUGGAGAAGAAUAUAAGACAGCUUUUCAAACUCAUCAUGGGCAUUUUGAGUUUCUAGUUGUGGGAUUUGGUCUGACAGGAGCUCCAAACACUUUCCAAAGGGGCAUUAAUGUGUCCUUGUCUGAAGAACCUGACAUGCUUAGGAAUUUUGUCAUUGCAUUCUUUGAUGACAUCCUGGUUUUCAGUAAAACAUUGAAACAACAUUUAGAGCAUUUCAGAAGGGUUUUGCAAGUUUUGAGAAGAGACAAAUGGUAUGUGAAACUCUCCAAAUGUGAGUUUGCUUCU
Molecule: ribosomal RNA, 375 nt
Filed under: Triticum aestivum (bread wheat)
Lineage: Eukaryota; Viridiplantae; Streptophyta; Magnoliopsida; Poales; Poaceae
Description: partial small subunit ribosomal RNA
Source: RNAcentral